CGCAGGGAACUGAAACAUCUAAGUACCUGCAGGAGAAGAAAACAAACGUGAUUCCCCCAGUAGCGGCGAGCGACCGGGGAAAAGCCCAAACCGUUAUUGUUUCGGCAUUAACGGGGUAGUAGGACUGCAAGCUUGAUGAAAUAAAUGAAAUGGAACACCUUGGAAAAUGUGAUCACAGAGGGUGAUAAUCCCGUACAUGCAAGUUUAUGAAUCAUAGCAGUAUCCUGAGUAAGUCGGGA
RNAcentral lists this ribosomal RNA (239 nucleotides) under Odoribacter splanchnicus. RNAcentral's name for it is "partial 23S ribosomal RNA". It matches the Rfam family "Bacterial large subunit ribosomal RNA", at positions 184 to 422 of the family's 2925-position model. Lineage: Bacteria; Pseudomonadati; Bacteroidota; Bacteroidia; Bacteroidales; Odoribacteraceae. The record is from RNAcentral.